GACGAGGAGCUUGCUUCUCUGACGUUAGCGGCGGACGGGUGAGUAACACGUGGAUAACCUACCUAUAAGACUGGGAUAACUUCGGGAAACCGGAGCUAAUACCGGAUAAUAUAUUGAACCGCAUGGUUCAAUAGUGAAAGACGGUUUUGCUGUCACUUAUAGAUGGAUCCGCGCCGCAUUAGCUAGUUGGUAAGGUAACGGCUUACCAAGGCAACGAUGCGUAGCCGACCUGAGAGGGUGAUCGGCCACACUGGAACUGAGACACGGUCCAGACUCCUACGGGAGGCAGCAGUAGGGAAUCUUCCGCAAUGGGCGAAAGCCUGACGGAGCAACGCCGCGUGAGUGAUGAAGGUCUUCGGAUCGUAAAACUCUGUUAUUAGGGAAGAACAAAUGUGUAAGUAACUAUGCACGUCUUGACGGUACCUAAUCAGAAAGCCACGGCUAACUACGUGCCAGCAGCCGCGGUAAUACGUAGGUGGCAAGCGUUAUCCGGAAUUAUUGGGCGUAAAGCGCGCGUAGGCGGUUUUUUAAGUCUGAUGUGAAAGCCCACGGCUCAACCGUGGAGGGUCAUUGGAAACUGGAAAACUUGAGUGCAGAAGAGGAAAGUGGAAUUCCAUGUGUAGCGGUGAAAUGCGCAGAGAUAUGGAGGAACACCAGUGGCGAAGGCGACUUUCUGGUCUGUAACUGACGCUGAUGUGCGAAAGCGUGGGGAUCAAACAGGAUUAGAUACCCUGGUAGUCCACGCCGUAAACGAUGAGUGCUAAGUGUUAGGGGGUUUCCGCCCC
This 785-nucleotide ribosomal RNA is filed under the name uncultured Staphylococcus sp. Its description in RNAcentral is "bacterial SSU rRNA". It matches the Rfam family "Bacterial small subunit ribosomal RNA", at positions 70 to 839 of the family's 1533-position model. The record is from RNAcentral. Lineage: Bacteria; Bacillati; Bacillota; Bacilli; Caryophanales; Staphylococcaceae.